Molecule: ribosomal RNA, 605 nt
Filed under: uncultured fungus
Lineage: Eukaryota; Fungi
Description: eukaryotic LSU rRNA
Rfam family: 5.8S ribosomal RNA (bases 214-367)
Source: RNAcentral
UAGUAAAAGUCGUAACAAGGUUUCCGUAGGUGAACCUGCGGAAGGAUCAUUACAGUGUUCCCUGCCCUUACGGGUAGAAACGCCCACCCUUGUAUAAUAUAUCUUGUUGCUUUGGCAGGCCGCCUUCGGGCCCUGGCGUUUUGCCGGGUCGUGCCUGCCAGAGGACCCCAAACUCUGAAUGUUAGUGUCGUCUGAGUACUAUAUAAUAGUUAAAACUUUCAACAACGGAUCUCUUGGUUCUGGCAUCGAUGAAGAACGCAGCGAAAUGCGAUAAGUAAUGUGAAUUGCAGAAUUCAGUGAAUCAUCGAAUCUUUGAACGCACAUUGCGCCCCGUGGUAUUCCGCGGGGCAUGCCUGUUCGAGCGUCAUUUAAACCAAUCCAGCUUGCUGGGUCUUGGGCUUUCGCCUCUGGGCGGGCCUUAAAAUCAGUGGCGGCGUCACUCGGCUCUAAGCGUAGUAAUACUCCUCGCUAUAGGGUCCGGUUGGCAGCUUGCCAGUAACCCCCAAUUUUAUCAGGUUGACCUCGGAUCAGGUAGGGAUACCCGCUGAACUUAAGCAUAUCAAUAAGCGGAGGAAAAGAAACCAACAGGGAUUGCCCCAGUAACG